This 32-nucleotide ribosomal RNA is filed under the name Rhizoplaca melanophthalma. RNAcentral's name for it is "partial 26S ribosomal RNA". The record is from RNAcentral. Lineage: Eukaryota; Fungi; Ascomycota; Lecanoromycetes; Lecanorales; Lecanoraceae.
UUGACUCGGAUCAGGUAGGGAUACCCCCUAUA